GACGAACGCUGGCGGCGUGCCUAAUACAUGCAAGUCGAACGCACAGUUUAUACCGUAGCUUGCUACACCAUAGACUGUGAGUUGCGAACGGGUGAGUAACGCGUAGGUAACCUGCCUGGUAGCGGGGGAUAACUAUUGGAAACGAUAGCUAAUACCGCAUAAUAUUAAUUAUUGCAUGAUAAUUAAUUGAAAGGUGCAAUUGCACCACUACCAGAUGGACCUGCGUUGUAUUAGCUAGUAGGUGAGGUAACGGCUCACCUAGGCGAAGAUACAUAUCCGACCGGGGAGGGUGAUCGGCCAAAAUGGGACGGAGAAACGGCCCAGAAUACUACGGGAGGCAGCAGUAGGGAAUCGUCGGAAAUGGACGAAAGUCAGAACGAGAAACGCCGCGGGAGGGAAGAAGGGUGUCGGAUCGUAAAGCUCUGUUGUAAGAGAAGAACGGGUGUGAGAGUGGAAAGUUCACACUGUGACGGUAUCUGACCAGAAAGGGACGGCUAACUACGUG
Molecule: ribosomal RNA, 505 nt
Filed under: uncultured bacterium
Lineage: Bacteria
Description: partial 16S ribosomal RNA
Rfam family: Bacterial small subunit ribosomal RNA
Source: RNAcentral